UACGUAGGGUGCGAGCGUUGUCCGGAAUUAUUGGGCGUAAAGGGCUCGUAGGCGGUUUGUCGCGUUGGGAGUGAAAACCUUGGGCUUAACUCAGGGCUUGCUUUCGAUACGGGCAGACUAGAGGUAUGCAGGGGAGAACGGAAUUCCUGGUGUAGCGGUGAAAUGCGCAGAUAUCAGGAGGAACACCGGUGGCGAAGGCGGUUCUCUGGGCAUGAUCUGACGCUGAGGAGCGAAAGUGUGGGGAGCGAACAGG
This 253-nucleotide ribosomal RNA is filed under the name uncultured bacterium. RNAcentral's name for it is "partial 16S ribosomal RNA". It matches the Rfam family "Bacterial small subunit ribosomal RNA", at positions 524 to 776 of the family's 1533-position model. The record is from RNAcentral.